CCUACGUGAGGCUGCAGUGAGGAAUAUUGGUCAAUGGACGAGCGUCUGAACCAGCCAAGUAGCGUGAAGGAUGACUGCCCUAUGGGUUGUACACUUCUUUUAUAUGGGAAUAAAACAGGGUAUGCAUACCCUCUUGUAUGUACCAUAUGAAUAAGGAUCGGCUAACUCCGUGCCAGCAGCCGCGGUAAUACGGAGGAUCCGAGCGUUAUCCGGAUUUAUUGGGUUUAAAGGGAGCGUAGGUGGAUUGUUAAGUCAGUUGUGAAAGUUUGCGGCUCAACCGUAAAAUUGCAGUUGAAACUGGCAGUCGUGAGUACAGUAGAGGUGGGCGGAAUGCGUGGUGGAGCGGUGAAAUGCUUAGAUAUCACGAAGAACUCCGAUUGCGAAGGCAGCUCACUGGACUGCAACUGACACUGAUGCUCGAAAGUGUGGGUAUCAAACAGGAUUAGAUACCCCAGUAGUC
This 460-nucleotide ribosomal RNA is filed under the name uncultured bacterium. RNAcentral's name for it is "partial 16S ribosomal RNA". It matches the Rfam family "Bacterial small subunit ribosomal RNA", at positions 338 to 795 of the family's 1533-position model. The record is from RNAcentral.